UACGGGAGGCAGCAGUGGGGAAUAUUGGACAAUGGGCGCAAGCCUGAUCCAGCAAUGCCGCGUGGAUGAAGAAGGUUUUUCGGAUUGUAAAGUCCUUUCGACGGGGACGAUGAUGACGGUACCCGUAGAAGAAGCCCCGGCUAACUUCGUGCCAGCAGCCGCGGUAAUACGAAGGGGCUAGCGUUGCUCGGAAUGACUGGGCGUAAAGGGCGCGUAGGCGGAAUGCUUUGUCGGGCGUGAAAUUCCAGGGCUUAACCUUGGGACUGCGUUCGAGACGGGUAUUCUAGAGUGGAGAAGAGGGUCGUGGAAUUCCCCAGUGUAGAGGUGAAAUUCGUAGAUAUUGGGAAGAACACCGGUGGCGAAGGCGGCGACCUGGUCUUUUUACUGACGCUGAGGCGCGAAAGCGUGGGGAGCAAACGAGGGAUUAGAUACC
Molecule: ribosomal RNA, 433 nt
Filed under: uncultured bacterium
Lineage: Bacteria
Description: bacterial SSU rRNA
Rfam family: Bacterial small subunit ribosomal RNA
Source: RNAcentral